RNAcentral lists this transfer RNA (72 nucleotides) under Marmota monax (woodchuck). It matches the Rfam family "tRNA". From Rfam's summary of the family: Transfer RNA (tRNA) molecules are approximately 80 nucleotides in length. Their secondary structure includes four short double-helical elements and three loops (D, anti-codon, and T loops). Lineage: Eukaryota; Metazoa; Chordata; Mammalia; Rodentia; Sciuridae. The record is from Rfam by way of RNAcentral.
UGGGUUGUGGCUCAGUGAUAAAGUGCUUGCCUCACAGGCAUGAGGCCCUGAGUUCAAUCCUCAGCACUACAU